UGGUACAGCAGUUCUCUCACUGUCUUUUGUAAGCUCAGCAAAGAUGUAGGCGACUAUCGAAGAGUUUUAAUAGCCACUGCAGAAUCUUCCAUUGUCCAAACAAGGCUUUAAAAUAGUAUGGUUUGAUAAAGAUAAGGAAUAAACAUUAACAGGUUAUUUAUGAUAAACUUAAAGCUUGACCAUUUCAUGAAAAUACUUCUCAAUAUUUGUGUUGAUUUACAUGUUUGCCAACAUUCAUUUAUUCAGACACAAAUCAAUAAACGUAUGAGUUAACAUUGGAAAAGUCUUGGGUCAAUACAAUGACCCGAUGUAGGUAUUUACGCACUCUUUUAGAUUACUCUGCCACAAAGAUAUCCAACAAUAAUCAGGCUAGCUAUGAUUAGAAAAAGGUUCGGGUCUGGCAUGCAGGUUAAUAGGUUUAUGGUGGGGUAUUCUAAAACUAUUCCAUGACAAUUUACC
Long non-coding RNA from Xenia sp. Carnegie-2017, 459 nucleotides. RefSeq lists it as uncharacterized. The transcript is spliced from 2 exons. Lineage: Eukaryota; Metazoa; Cnidaria; Anthozoa; Malacalcyonacea; Xeniidae. The record is from RefSeq and is a predicted model, not a curated record.